This 474-nucleotide ribosomal RNA is filed under the name Triticum aestivum (bread wheat). RNAcentral's name for it is "partial small subunit ribosomal RNA". Lineage: Eukaryota; Viridiplantae; Streptophyta; Magnoliopsida; Poales; Poaceae. The record is from RNAcentral.
AUGUCACUGCUAGAGUGCCAAGGUCACAAGCUGCAACAUUCAGGGGGGAGGGAGCACUACACAAGCCAACAUGUGCUUGCUGCUGUUGACUUCGAUCUAAAGUUCACAUAUGUGCUGGCUGGCCAGGAAGGGUCAACACAUGAUGCUAACAUACUUAGUGAUAGCAUCAGUCGCCCUGAUGGCAUCAACAUCCCUGAUGGAAAGUUCUACCUAGGAGAUGCUGGCUAGGCAUGUCACUCAGCUGUUCUUCCACCCUUCAGGAAAACCAGGUACCAUCUUAACGAGUUCUCUGGUAGGAAUUACCCUAGGACUCCACAUGAGAUAUUCAAUCUUAGACAUUCCAGCCUUAGAAUAACGGUUGAGAGGGUAUUUCGAGCUCUCAAGAACAGGUUCAAGUUCCUGGACCAGAAGCCAUUCCACCCUUACCCUACCCAGAUUAAGCUUGUUCUUGCAUGUUGCAUUCUGCAUAACUAG